RNAcentral lists this ribosomal RNA (427 nucleotides) under uncultured bacterium. RNAcentral's name for it is "bacterial SSU rRNA". It matches the Rfam family "Bacterial small subunit ribosomal RNA", at positions 355 to 774 of the family's 1533-position model. The record is from RNAcentral.
UGGGGAAUUUUGGACAAUGGACGCAAGUCUGAUCCAGCCAUGCCGCGUGCGGGAAGAGGGCCUUCGGGUUGUAAACCGCUUUUGUCAGGGAAGAAACGAGUUUCUCUAAUACAGAGACUUAAUGACGGUACCUGAAGAAUAAGCACCGGCUAACUACGUGCCAGCAGCCGCGGUAAUACGUAGGGUGCGAGCGUUAAUCGGAAUUACUGGGCGUAAAGCGUGCGCAGGCGGUGAUGUAAGACAGAUGUGAAAUCCCCGGGCUUAACCUGGGAACUGCAUUUGUGACUGCAUUGCUGGAGUGCGGCAGAGGGGGAUGGAAUUCCGCGUGUAGCAGUGAAAUGCGUAGAUAUGCGGAGGGACACCGAUGGCGAAGGCAAUCCCCUGGGCCUGCACUGACGCUCAUGCACGAAAGCGUGGGGAGCAAACA